AAUGUUUACGUUUUUUGAUAGAAAGUAGCAAAGAUAGCAUUGAAGAAAGCCCUUUGAUAAAGAAAAUAAGAAGUCUGACCGAAAAGCACCCUGAUUUGGAGGAUUUUAAGAUUCGGGUUUGGGCUAAAAUGUUGGAAAAAAGCYAGGAAAAGCAAAGGCGAAUGCAUCCAACAACGCUACCACUACACCGUCUACGUCUAGUACUGUUAUUUCUAGUUCUGAUAACGAUAAGACAGAAAAGCGAACAGCAGUGAUUAAACAAUUAAAAGACUUGAAGGAUUUGAAAGACGACGGGAUUCUCACUGUAGAGCAGUUUGGUAGCCUGAGAAAUAAGCUUGUUGCAGAGUUGUCAGAAUUAGUAUAAUUCAGUACUAUUAACUCGUGGAUAUUCCGACUAGUUUUGUUAUCUAUUAUAAUUAUGCUUAUGCAUCUAAUUCACUUUAAGUGACAGUGUAAUAUCUUCACAAACUACAAAAGUAAAUUUACAGUUUGAUUUGAUUUGAAUAAAAAAAAAAGAAACAAAAGGGAACUUUGUAAAUCACACUAAAUAUAAUUGCCAUGUCGAAUGCAAUUAAUAACGUCUUGGACAGAGACGUUCAAAAAGGCUUGUAGAACCAUUAUGAUUAUGAUUAUGAUUAUCUAUCAAACGCCAUAUCACAUCAUUGCUUGCUAUCCAACUUUUAGUUUGUGAAAAGAUAUUUUCACAAGGGUUGAAGUCGGGACUGUAUGGUGGUAAAAAUACAACGAGUGCACCAGUGRCAUUGAUUGCAUCAAGAACUGCCCUUGUAUGGUGAAUAGCUGCAUUGUCUAAAAGCAAAGGAAAAGUUAAUUGCUAUACGCCAGUAGUAUAAUAAUCUAUAAUUAAAUAACAUGUUUAUGAUCGAUCGAAAUAAAGGUACUUUGGAACACUUKAGAGGGACGUUUUUACUGAAACCAUUAACAAUUUUUGUUUUGGAAAACGAUCCCGCGAUCAUGUGGCUUCAUUAAAUUAUUCUGUAAUUCACUGAACAAUAAAAUUAAAGUAGUAUGGAAAUCAUGUUUAUAUUUACUGGAGUACUAGCCUAAGAGUCCUGCUACUUUGGUACGUACCCAUUAUAACAACAGACCUAGGAUUAACACCAUCAAAUGGUAACAAGUUCGGUGCAAGAACAUCGGUAACAAAAUCUAAAAAUGUGACUUCAUUUACAUKACCACGAUAGAGUCCGACAUCCAUCAACCCAUCUGUUGAAAUGACUGGAAUGGCAGUUAUUCGUGGCCCCCAAUUUCGAUGUGGUCGCACAACUUCUGCUCUGGUUCCAUGAAAGCUGUACCCAUAUUUUCUGCAAAUCCUUUUAUCCUAUUUUGAAAAAUGCUAAAAUAAUUUUCCAAGCUAAUGCUAAAAAUACUUUUUUUCGAGAAAAAAAUACAUACAAAUCCAGAUUCAUCCAAAAAUACAAGCAUCUCUGGAGGAAACAGUAAUAUAUUGCUCCAAUACUGCGCACGUAGAUCGUCAUUUCUUUGAAGUGCAAUUUUUUGAACCUAUGAAUAAAAUGAAAAUUUACUGUAAAUUUUGUCAAUUGCUKAACAAUUCAUAAAAAGCAUGAUUUUACGUUCACCUUUUUGUGCGUAAUUCCACUCCUGAAUAAAUAAUAAUGUAUAGUCGAGAGAGCGAAAGUAGAGUUCGUUUGACGGUAAAUCUCAUCUGCUAUUUCAGCAAGAGUUUUGUCAGGAUUGCUCAAGACGGCUUCGAAAAUUAUUAAUUCUUCUUGUGGCGCAAAGUGAAUGCUACCACGAGAACGGCCUAUAGUCUUUGGCUCUACACCGCCAGUAGUCAGGUAUUUCGAAAUKUAUCUCUCAACUGUCCUUUCUGAGACACCCAAGUAAAAUGAGGCCUCAGACACGGAAUGCUGCAGAAAGUGUACAAACCAAAUAAUCCUCCAACGAAGGUCGUUGCUAUAUGGAGCUGGCAUUAUUGAUAUGAGCCAAUUCACGAUUUUACAAAUAGCUACGCGCGUCGUGAUAAAAAAUUCAAUAACAAAGAGAGCAAUGAAGGAAAUGAUUAUUCUUUUAUUUAC
Exaiptasia diaphana is the source of this 2054-nucleotide long non-coding RNA. RefSeq lists it as uncharacterized. Lineage: Eukaryota; Metazoa; Cnidaria; Anthozoa; Actiniaria; Aiptasiidae. The record is from RefSeq and is a predicted model, not a curated record. The transcript has 3 exons.